Molecule: ribosomal RNA, 501 nt
Filed under: uncultured bacterium
Lineage: Bacteria
Description: bacterial SSU rRNA
Rfam family: Bacterial small subunit ribosomal RNA
Source: RNAcentral
CGCUAGCUACGAGGCGUUAACACAUGGCAAGUCGAGGGGCAGCAUGGUCUUAGCUUGCUAAGACUGAUGGCGACCGGCGCACGGGUGAGUAACGCGUAUCCAACCUUCCCCCUGGUAGGGCAUAAGCCCGGCGAAAGUCGGAUUAAUACCCUAUGUUAUCCGAAGAGGACAUCUGAUUCGGAUCAAAGAUUUAUCGCCAUGGGAUGGGGAUGCGUCCGAUUAGGUUGACGGCGGGGUGACGGCCCACCGUGCCCGCGAUCGGUAGGGGUUCUGAGAGGAAGGUCCCCCACAUUGGAACUGAGACACGGUCCAAACUCCUACGGGAGGCAGCAGUGAGGAAUAUUGAUCAAUGGGCGUAAGCCUGAACCAGCCAAAAGUAGCGUGCGGGACGACGGCCCUAUGGGUUGUAAACCGCUUUUGCAGGGGAAUAAAGUGUGGGACGUGUCCCAUUUUGCAUGUACCCUGAGAAUAAGGACCGGCUAAUUCCGUGCCAGCCGCGGC